RNAcentral lists this ribosomal RNA (531 nucleotides) under uncultured bacterium. Its description in RNAcentral is "partial 16S ribosomal RNA". It matches the Rfam family "Bacterial small subunit ribosomal RNA", at positions 355 to 874 of the family's 1533-position model. The record is from RNAcentral.
UGGGGAAUAUUGCACAAUGGGCGCAAGCCUGAUGCAGCCAUGCCGCGUGUGUGAAGAAGGCCUUCGGGUUGUAAAGCACUUUCAGCGAGGAGGAAGGUGGUGGACUUAAUACGUUCAUCAAUUGACGUUACUCGCAGAAGAAGCACCGGCUAACUCCGUGCCAGCAGCCGCGGUAAUACGGAGGGUGCAAGCGUUAAUCGGAAUUACUGGGCGUAAAGCGCACGCAGGCGGUUUGUUAAGUCAGAUGUGAAAUCCCCGGGCUCAACCUGGGAACUGCAUUUGAAACUGGCAAGCUAGAGUCUCGUAGAGGGGGGUAGAAUUCCAGGUGUAGCGGUGAAAUGCGUAGAGAUCUGGAGGAAUACCGGUGGCGAAGGCGGCCCCCCUGGACGAAGGACUGACGCUCAGGUGCGAAAAGGCGUGGGGGAGCAAACAGGAUUAGAUACCCUGGUAGUCACGCUGUAAACGAUGUCNAUUUGGAGGUUGUGCCCUUGAGGCGUGGCUUCCGGAGCUAACGCGUUAAAUCGACCGCCU